Molecule: small nucleolar RNA, 66 nt
Organism: Nothobranchius furzeri (turquoise killifish)
Lineage: Eukaryota; Metazoa; Chordata; Actinopteri; Cyprinodontiformes; Nothobranchiidae
Source: Ensembl
AGGAGAGAUGAUGACUUCUGUUACCGCCCCAGUCUGAGAAGUCAUGACUGAUCGGUAUUUCUUCUG